UACGUAGGGGGCUAGCGUUGUUCGGAAUUACUGGGCGUAAAGCGCGUGUAGGCGGUUACUCAAGUCAGAGGUGAAAGCCCGGGGCUCAACCCCGGAACUGCCUUUGAAACUAGGUAACUAGAAUCUUGGAGAGGUGAGUGGAAUUCCGAGUGUAGAGGUGAAAUUCGUAGAUAUUCGGAAGAACACCAGUGGCGAAGGCGACUGACUGGACAAGUAUUGACGCUGAGGUGCGAAAGCGUGGGGAGCAAACAGG
RNAcentral lists this ribosomal RNA (253 nucleotides) under uncultured bacterium. Its description in RNAcentral is "partial 16S ribosomal RNA". It matches the Rfam family "Bacterial small subunit ribosomal RNA", at positions 524 to 776 of the family's 1533-position model. The record is from RNAcentral.